CCUGGGGAAGCAAAGAGUAAAGGGUAACACUCUGAAGUCUGACUCUGUUCUGCAGUCAAAACAAGCACCUGUUUACUGACAGUCAGAAGAACCAGCGCAGUAAAGUCAGGCAGGCAUUGUGCUAUUGCUGCCAUAGGAAAUCUCCAGGCCACCUGAGCUCGUGCACAAGCUGCUGUGUUUCAUAGGCACUGCACCCUAUGCUUGAUGGAAGCAUCUAAUCCUUCAUUGAUCACUGCUACACCUUAAUAGCACCUGAUUGCCCUCAGUGCUGUCUGCUAGACUCAAAUGUACUUCCUUCAAGCCCACGGGUGGAUGAUUUCCCUGUUACCUAUCUGUGAAUAAGGAAUGGUUUGACACAGGCUACCAGCAGCUGUGUUUGCUGCAUAGCACUGCUCCAGACAUCAGUUUUACUCCCAGUUUUGUCACUCAUCUCCUGCACAACCUCAGGCAAAUUCCUCCACUCUCAGCUGCCACACCUGCAAAGUGCUCCCUACCUUCAUCACCGUGUUGAGUCACUCUUGAGUUCUGCUAACAGAAAGCUGUAUAAAAGCAAAGCCUUAUUAAAAAUUUAGCUUUACUCUGGCUUUCUUAAUCCAUUUUUAAUGGGGUUUUUACUGCACACACGUAGGAGCCCAGUUGGAAACGAUGAGGUUUGCUGAUCCAGCAGCGCCGCUCCGCUCCCCACGCAGUCUGCAGAGCUGCACAUCGAGGAACUGAUCGGAGGAAUGAAGAGAUGCUGGUCGUCACCCAACAUCAGGCACGUGAAAGUCAGAAUGCCAAAGCCAGUUGCCCAGCAACGUGGAUUGUAGGCACAGGACAGCAGAGACAAUUCGUGCCAUCUGGACCCUUCUGUGAGAUCUAUAGAGACGCCUGGGACCACGCAAAGUGCUAAAGCACGCCCAUGAAGCCCGGCCAACGCAGUGAGAAAGCAAGGAGCAGAAGGACAAGCGCUUCAUUAUGUGAUGGUGGAAGAAAAUAUGAGUGAAAUGAGAUGCAUUUGUCAAUGAAUAAAACAUUUGUAUACGCCAGAGGCUGUGACCAAAGCAAGCAAAACUGAAAGCCACCCUCCAUGUUAUGGACUGAAACAGUUGCAGGCUGUGGCUAUAAACAGAGUGAGUGUUUUGCUGGUCUGUCUGGAUGAGGGCGGUCAUAAACUGAAGGUCAGAGACAGGAACAGCUGUUUCCAUUCCACACUGCAUGAUGCAAUUCUGCUGUCAUCCCCAUCCUCCUCCGGGGCUCAAUUGAGCACCACAAGGGCUCAGAAGGAAGCGCUGGGUCAGGUUUUAUCCCAUAACCCGCAUUAACCACAGGAUGGGGUCUUCCAUCAGCACUUCAACACCUUUUUAACACCACCUUCUCCUCUUCCUUGGGGGUUCUUUUCCUCCUGAAGUACAAAGGAUCAAUUAGGAUGGCUCAUUUGGGCUAUACUUAACCCCUGGAGGUGACUUAAUGCACAGCCUGAAGAUGCUCAUUUAAUAGGUGAGCACAGCGUGCAACCAUUACCACCUGUUCACCAAAACACAUCACUCCCAGCCCAGAACAACAGCCCUUCUCCUUGUCUUUGAGCAUCCCACGCUCUCACCCCCUCAAACCUCCAGCAAAGCACAUUGUGUGAGCUCUGCUCACUCUGUUACUGCUCUAGGGGUGUCUGAAGAGCCACAGGGCUGAAAACUAACCAAGGGUGAACUUCAGGCUCUGCCUGUGGUUUCCUUUAGGUGCAGCUCAAGAAUUUCCUUGAAUAAUGCUUAAUGAAAUCACUUUUGUACAAGGGACAAUCUCAGAGCAGCAGAAGUCGGACUCCCCGUGCUAUAAAAGCCAGCAGCUGUUAAGCUCUGUGGAUGGAGCUCCCCUUGGCUUUGCAUAGAACACAAUCCUACUCCUCUGGGACUCAUUGCACAGCUCUGCAGGAUCCUAACGUGCACCUGAAGCUCUCCCAUCCCUCUGUCAUCUCCUAACGCAGCCGAUCCAAGCAAGACAGAGAGGAUUUGACAGCGAGUUUCCAUCUGUGGAAGGGCUGUAGUUUAACUCGGAUCCCUGAAAUGGCAGCAAAGCAUCACGUGGUGCAGGGAGAUUAAUCAUAAAGUCAUGUGCCGUAAGGUGGAGCUGUUCCUACAUGAUGCUACGUAGCUGGGUCCUCCUGAAAUGAUGCAGGCUGCCAUGAGCAACACUGUGAUACCAGAACCUGCCCUCUGGAAACAAGAAGUGAUGAUCUUCCUCUUAGACAGGUUCCUAAUCACUAAGUGCUAAUGAGAAAGCAUUUAAAAGGCAGCAGCAAACCGAACAGCUGCAGUUCUUUACCACUAGGAAGUCGUUUUGCUGCCAUAUGGAUUCAUUACACUGUAUAUAAUGUAAAGAAGCUUUGCUGAUAGCAGAGUGCUGCUGUAUUGCUGAGCCAAUAUAAUGCACCCACCUGAAGCUCACCUUCCACCUGCAGCAUAGGCUUUGCUUUUUCCUUUUACCUUUUAAAGCAGUACAGAACAAACAGAUUCUCCACCUUCUAAAGAA
Non-coding RNA from Coturnix japonica (Japanese quail), 2505 nucleotides. The record is from RefSeq and is a predicted model, not a curated record. Lineage: Eukaryota; Metazoa; Chordata; Aves; Galliformes; Phasianidae.